UUCAUUUUGGGAAAUAAUAAAAUGUAUAAUCUGCUCAAUGAUUUUUUUUUUAAAUUGCUGUGGUAUUUUGACUAUACGAAGGUAUUGAAAUAAGAUUUUAAAUGAGUGCUAAGAGAAUGAUUAAACAAUUAAAAGCUUUCUUUAAUUGAAUAAUUGAAUUUAAUUUUUUAGUGCAAAAGCAAAAAUAAAAAUUAGGGACAAGAAGACCCUAUGAAUUUUUUAUUAAAUUUUAUAAAACUUUAUAUAAAAUUUAAUUUAAUUGGGGUGAUGGAAAAAGAAUAAAUAUCUUUUUUUUUAAAAAAAAUUGGUUCCGUUUUUAGCGAUUAAAUGAAAAAAAUACUCUAGGGAUAACAGCGUAAUAAUUUUGGAUAGUUCAUAUAGAUAAAAUAGUUUGCGACCUCGAUGUUGGAUUAGGAUUCUUUUUUGGUGAAAAAGUUAAAAAAAGAAGUUUGUUCAACUUAUAAUUUCCUACAU
Molecule: ribosomal RNA, 474 nt
Filed under: Ixodes ricinus (castor bean tick)
Lineage: Eukaryota; Metazoa; Arthropoda; Arachnida; Ixodida; Ixodidae
Description: partial 16S ribosomal RNA
Source: RNAcentral